GACGAACGCUGGCGGCGUGCUUAACACAUGCAAGUCGAACGGAAAGGCCCUGCUUUUGUGGGGUGCUCGAGUGGCGAACGGGUGAGUAACACGUGAGUAACCUGCCCUUGACUUUGGGAUAACUUCAGGAAACUGGGGCUAAUACCGGAUAGGAGCUCCUGCUGCAUGGUGGGGGUUGGAAAGUUUCGGCGGUUGGGGAUGGACUCGCGGCUUAUCAGCUUGUUGGUGGGGUAGUGGCUUACCAAGGCUUUGACGGGUAGCCGGCCUGAGAGGGUGACCGGCCACAAUGGGACUGAGAGACGGCCCAGACUCCUACGGGAGGCAGCAGGGGGGAAUAUUGCACAAUGGGCGGAAGCCUGAUGCAGCAACGCCGCGUGCGGGAUGACGGCCUUCGGGGUGUAAACCGCUUUCGCCUGUGACGAAGCGUGAGUGACGGUAAUGGGUAAAGAAGCACCGGCUAACUACGUG
This 468-nucleotide ribosomal RNA is filed under the name uncultured bacterium. RNAcentral's name for it is "partial 16S ribosomal RNA". It matches the Rfam family "Bacterial small subunit ribosomal RNA", at positions 28 to 507 of the family's 1533-position model. The record is from RNAcentral.